This is a non-coding RNA of Flavobacterium frigoris, 81 nucleotides long. The record is from Rfam. Lineage: Bacteria; Pseudomonadati; Bacteroidota; Flavobacteriia; Flavobacteriales; Flavobacteriaceae.
UUUUAGCCCUGAUUGAAGUGGAAAUCCUUUUAUCUCGUUUUUCAACGAGUUAAAAGAUUGAAGCGUAAAGCAGGAAAUAGC